RNAcentral lists this transfer RNA (91 nucleotides) under Comamonas odontotermitis. Its description in RNAcentral is "tRNA-Ser". It matches the Rfam family "tRNA". From Rfam's summary of the family: Transfer RNA (tRNA) molecules are approximately 80 nucleotides in length. Their secondary structure includes four short double-helical elements and three loops (D, anti-codon, and T loops). Lineage: Bacteria; Pseudomonadati; Pseudomonadota; Betaproteobacteria; Burkholderiales; Comamonadaceae. The record is from RNAcentral.
GGAAGCAUGCCCCGAAGGUCGGGAAACGGUCUUGAAAACCGUCGCCAUCCGUGCAGAGCGGGUGAGGGUUCAAUUCCUUGUGCUUCCGCCA